GUCUCCGUGCAUGGUCUCUCUUGGUAUUCUGUAAUUUAAAUUGAAUGUUGCUCUAAGUGUAUAAACAGUACCCUUAUAAUAUUAUGUACCAAAGGAAAAUAAGAAUACUAGCAAGAUAAAAUUAACUGCCAGCUUCUAUCCAACAUGUUUAGGAUGACAACAGCACAAGGAAUAUGGUAUCUGGCAUAUGAGGGAGCACCCUGAACAGUGUUCAGGAGGGACUGCCUCAUGUAGCUUUUCUUUUCUGCUCUUCUAAGCUUGUUGAUUAUUUUUCAAGUCAUAAAAUAAAUCCCCAAACUCUUCCCACAGGCUUCCUGUUAUGGCAAUGGAAAGGAUUCUAGGAAAGGAUGCCAACAGGCCAGAUGUCAUCUUUUUUGGUGGGCUGUACACAUCAGACUGGACUUGCCUUAAAUGAGAUUCAGACAAUCCUUUUUGCCAAAUGCCCAACAAGAAAGGAGCAGUUAUGCAGAACUUGUGGUAGAAGGAGGGAAACUGAGGACCUUAGACAUCUCCGUCUGAUGAGUAACUGCUACCAGUCACAGCUUGGAGAGCUGGACACUUCACCACUCAGGUCAACAGAUGUCUGAAAAUAACAGCAAGAAAGAAAUGAAAAAGAAUCUCCCACAGAGGUAUGUUAUAUCAUUUCCCCGCAAGUCUUUUAACACAGGGUGGAUGAACAGCUCUCUAGCAUUAUGUGAAUGGGAGGCUGCCUAAAGGAAGGGAAAUGGGUUGGAUAAUUUGGGGACUCCCUCAGCUAAUUUAGAAAAUUAUCUGUUUUUUCAAUGGUGUGGGUUCUUGGAAGAAAAUGAAGAGCAUUGGGAAGAAUCCUCAAGAGAUUGCAAGCUUUGAUCAAGUGUGCUCCUAAAGGGAAACAUUAAAGACAGUCUUUAAAACAAACAAAAAACAAAUAAAAAGCCUAUUCUGAAAGUCCAUAUUAAAUUCUUAUUUAUAGAUACUAAUAGAUGGUAGCUCAUGGAGUUAGGGGCAAAGAGAGGUGCUUAGGAAAGGUCUGCUUCUAUCAGAAAAGGUAUGAUUUGAAAUAUUAUAAUUUAAUUUUAACCUAAUGCUCUUUUUGCAAAUAUCUUCCACCACCUUCUCUAAACUCAGAGCUCCCUAGUAUAAACAGUUUUCUGUGCUUGUUAUAGUAGAGUUACCUCAGGUCUCCAGGUCUCACUGGCCCAGGGAGGACAACAAAGCCAUUGCCAAACAAAGGUACAGUAAUGCCCAGAAUGCUCAUUGUAUUAAAUUCCUUCCAUCUGAUUAAGAGGACAUUGGGGAGUCUCCUUUGUCCUCCUGAAAACCAUGAUGCUCUAUGCCCAUGCUGUAUGGAAUGUAUUAUUUUCUCUUUAAUUCCUAAUACGCUGUUCCCUGAUCACUGCAUUGGCAGCCUUGAGCUCUAAGUUUUCUUUCCUAGAGCUUUUAAAAUGUUUAUUUAUUUGACCCAAACUUUACUAGAGAUUCUAAUUCCAGAUUAAGGGCCUUGACUUCAGUAACCAGAUUCAACAGAUAAAAUACUGGAUCCCCCAUUAAAUUUGAAUUUUAGGUAAACAUUGACU
This is a long non-coding RNA of Pan paniscus (pygmy chimpanzee), 1556 nucleotides long. The record is from Ensembl. Lineage: Eukaryota; Metazoa; Chordata; Mammalia; Primates; Hominidae.